This 2203-nucleotide long non-coding RNA is filed under the name Nicotiana tabacum (common tobacco). Its description in RNAcentral is "long non-coding RNA (NTAB_LNC004767)". Lineage: Eukaryota; Viridiplantae; Streptophyta; Magnoliopsida; Solanales; Solanaceae. The record is from RNAcentral.
CCAUUUCCCCCUUCCCGUCUCUCACCCUAAAAACCCUAACCUAGCCGCCCCAAAAUCCUCUCAGUUCAUUAACCGGCGGCGGCUAUAUUAGUUGCUCCAAAACUGCUCAAAUUCAUCCUCCACAACCCUGAGCCCAUCCUCAAUAUCAUUCAACCGUUAAUUUUCCUAAAAACCACCCAAAUUCACCGAUUUUAGAUCUGAAGUUCAACCCUAAAAACCCUAAUUCACCCAAAUCACACUAAACUCACACCCUAAAACCCUUUUCUUCCCGUCACCACUAAUCACCAAGUAUUUCCCCAUAAACAACUCCAAAUCGGCGAGUUCUGGAUCUAAGAACCCUAAGAGCACUAGGUUGUGUAUGUCUGUCUUUCGUCGCUUUUUCUCUAAUUCGAUAGUGUUGAGAUUCACCCUAAAUGGUUUAUCUUGACAAGAAUAACCAUUUGGGUUCGAUUUUAAGCAUUAUCGAAGCCAAACAGAAGUCCGUUUGUUUCUUCUCCGUCUUUCAGUAGGUACUUCCUCUCUUUGUCUUCAUGUUCUUUUAUCUUCUGUUAUUCUUUUGUUCGUUUGUGCUAAUUCAUACCCAUAAAAAUAAAAAUAAAAAUAUGUUUUUAAGGCUUUCAUUCAUCUCUGUUUUUGUUAAGUAAGUCGCCAUUGUUAGGUUGGUGUUAUUUGGAUUUCAUGGUUAGCUAAUUAAGGUUAGAAGGUUCAAAUGAUUUGGCUAGGGUAAUUAAUGAUAGUUUUGUUUGCUUUCUGGUUGGUUAUUAGUUUCCAUACCUGCUUUCCUUGUUUAGUUUGCACGAGCCAGUUAGGGUAAUUUCAGCAUUUAUGUUCAAUACUUAGUAAGAUGUUUGUUAAGUUCCCCUCUUAGUAAUCUAUUAAUAGGCUUUAAUAAUUUUCCUUUUGAAACUCGUGUUAGUAUUAGGUUUGAGUUAUUUCUGUUUCUGUCUCAUUGCUAAUUUGGUUCAUGUUAAAUAAACUUAUGGUUAGUCCGAAGGUUUAACUGCAUUUCUGCUUAUUAUUUGAUUCUGUUUUCCAAUGUUUGCUUGCCUUGUCCUUGUUUGCCAUAGUUAUCAAAUCAUUAGAAACUUAGGAGGGGUUAAUUGAACAAAUGGAAAUUUAGGGGUUAAUUAGGGAAAUAGAAAAUAAUAUUUUCAGAUAAGGUUAAGGUUAGAAGCUUCUAGAAUUUGGGGCAUCUGGCCUUAUUUGGCCAGCACCAAAUGCUGAAACCAAUUAGAGGUUGACAGUUGUCCUAAUUCUGUUAGAAAGAUGCUUUUAGGGGCUGUGUGAGGGAAUAAUUCCCUAUCUUUCUGUUUUUUAGCAGAUGGCAUUGGGUUGCCUAUAAGUAGAACCUCUCCCUCACUCUGAGAAACAGAAUUCAGACCCUAAAAAAUACACAAAAAGUUUCUACAUUACUGGCUGGUUUUUUUAUUUUUCUUUUAGAACUUGAAGAGCUUUCAUGGAAAUUCUGGUUUUCUUGGUUCAAAGAGGGUUCAAAGAAGUUGAAUCUUGUUGAUUUGUUGCUUUGCUCAUAUUUCUGCUCUUGCUGAAGUCCUCACCCCAUUUUUCUUUAUUUUUAGGCACUUCUAUGAACUUGUUGAAUGGCAAACAAAGAUGUAAAGAAUGCUUGUUGCUUGAAUUUGUGAUAUGAAAUCCCAAUAUUUAAGGUGUUAGAGUUGUGGCUUCAUACGUGUUCCAUUCAUAAAUUGUUUAGAUUAACAUCCUGGUUUUUCUGUAAUUUAGAUGUUUUCACAUGAAUGGUCAGUUUAAUUUAGUCCAUUUCACAUUUUGGACAAUUUGAAGCAGUAGGCAAUCAUAGUAGUUUAUAUGGCCACUAUUAAGAUUUGUCUGAUUUUGAGAGCAUUUUGUAAUUGUUUGAUAGUUCACCAUUAAGUGUUAGCCAUGUUGGUAAGCUUUGAUCAGUUCUGGUUAGUUUUGGUUUUUGAAAGUCACAGUUAGUUGGAGUUUAUUCCAUUGAAUAGCAUGUUUUGAUUUAGGGCAUUUGCGCUUAGCUAAUCGAGAUAAUAUACAUACUUUGAAUGUCAUGUAGAUAGUGUAGUUGAUCCAGCAUAUUAAUUUUCAGAUUUUAGUAUCAUUUUUGUGAUUUGUAUGUUCAGAGCUACUUGAAUAUCAAAUAAAAGUCUUGGCAUGUUUAAAGUUUUUUUAGUUUGAAUCUGGGCUGGAUUCUUGGCCUCAUAAGUCGGUC